CGGCACAAGAAGCAUGUGGCAGGGUCCCUGGUUCGUGGUGCUGCUUUUCAGCUGUAGAAGCGUGGCUCAGACCCUGACCCAACCCAGAGCAUCGAUUACUGCACCUGUCGGGAAAGCUGUGAGCGUUCGGUGUCAAGUGAAAGACAUCUCCGUCAGCAGCAAUGAUCCCCUUCACUGGUACCAACAGAAACCCGGCAAACCGCUCCAAAGGAUACUCUAUUAUGGAGAUAGCGUAACGCGGGAUUCGGAAUUCGGAAAAUCCUUCAGCGCGGGAAAAUCAUCAGAUUCCAAAUUCUAUCUCACAAUCGAAGUUAACGCUGAAAGCGCUGCCACCUAUUACUGCGCCUACUGGGUUAACACAGUAUGUAAUAGAUAA
Mobula hypostoma (lesser devil ray) is the source of this 376-nucleotide non-coding RNA. The record is from the annotation of a RefSeq genome assembly. NCBI's taxonomy places the organism in Eukaryota, Metazoa, Chordata, Chondrichthyes, Myliobatiformes, Myliobatidae.